GCAGAUCCUACCUAGAAGUUCAGGCCCAGUCAUGCCCUGCCAUGAAGAUCUGCAGGUCCUUUCCUUAAACACCUCCUAGACCCCAUCCAACUCCAUAGUCCAGGACAGCAGGCAGCCCCUCUGACUAGGCACCUUACUGCAAGUCCCAUUCUGCCCUGGGAGACCAACUCCAGGCCUAUCCUGCCUGGCCACUACUGCCUCCAGUCCCUGGACCUUCUCCCCUUGUGGCAUGGGGGUACAGUGUACACAUGCCCCCCAUCCCAAAUCUUAAGGAAACACUAGUGGGUUCGAUCUCAGCAAAUACCAGAGGAGUGGCUGACUGGUGGAGCUGGUUUCUGGGAUCUCAAUGGCCAUCAGGUCUAAAGCCAGCCUUGGGUCUUCGGAGGCAGGGCUCAGCGAAACUGUCAAUUGGGAGACACCCAUUCCUUCCUUCCCACCCACAAGCAAGGGAGCAAGAAGAUAACCGAUUGCUCCUGCUGGCGGGAUUUUUUCAGACCCUGCUGCCUGCCACUAGGUUUGUUUACAUGGGCAGUUUCUCCCCAAGCAAGUCUCUGGGAACCACAACUGGAUGUGACAGUUUGUGGGUCUUCAGGACCCAAUAGCUGCUCCAGGCAAAAACAAAACAAAACAGCGACACGUGCGUCGGGGGACGCAAGCUCCGGGCCCCUGGCGCCCCGAACCGGCUGCGAUGGGGAGGAGCCGGCGCAGAAUGUAAGCGACUGGUGGAGGGAAGAGCUCAGGUGGGUCUGAGGACCACCAAAGUUAGGUCCUUUCAGCAUCUCAGAGGCUGACGUCAGAGUAUCAAUCCUUUUGUGUGCCCUUGAGAGUGAGCCUGUCACCUCGCCAGGCCGACCUAUACCCCCACCCUCCAACACACACAUAGGCGGCCCCCGUGGGCCAAAUGGGCUGACUAGUGGUCCUUGGGCCAGGAUGUUGGUCUCUUACCUGAUGCUCAGACGCUGGCCCAAGGUCUGAUGCUCUUAGCAGCCAGACGCCAGCUUCAGGCCCCUCGGGAGUCACUGGGUUUUUUUUUGGGGGGAUUAGUAUAAGCCAAGCAAAUGCUCUACUAACGUUGGCUGAUUUGGACACAUGGGGUUUACCUUGGCUUUUCUAGCUCUGUGACCUUGGGCAAAUUUCUUAAAUUCUCUGUGCCUCAUUUUCCUUUCCUAGAAAACAGGAGUAACAUCUCUUUCCCCAGGGCUGAAGUCAAGAUUAAAUGCAGUAGCAUCUGUGGAAAGUCUAGCUGGAAUGGGCACACGGGAAGCUCAGUAGUGGAUGCUGUGUUGUUGCUCUCAAGCCAAGAAAGAUAGAAGGAAACUCAUGGAAACUUGUCUCAACCAGAUCCUUAAAUAUUUCAACACCCAAGAUGUAAAAGCAUAAUAAAGAAGGCCCAGAGGAGAAAGGGGAUUUGGAA
This 1414-nucleotide long non-coding RNA is filed under the name Ursus maritimus (polar bear). RNAcentral describes it as "lncRNA (ENSUMAG00000011550.1)". Lineage: Eukaryota; Metazoa; Chordata; Mammalia; Carnivora; Ursidae. The record is from RNAcentral.